UACGUAGGUGGCAAGCGUUGUCCGGAUUUACUGGGCGUAAAGAGCGCGCAGGCGGUCGAGUAAGUCGAAUGUGAAAGCCCCCGGCUUAACUGGGGAGGGUCAUUGGAAACUGGGGAACUUGAGUGCAGAAGAGGAAAGUGGAAUUCCAAGUGUAGCGGUGAAAUGCGUAGAGAUUUGGAGGAACACCAGUGGCGAAGGCGGCUUUCUGGUCUGUAACUGACACUGAGGCGCGAAAGCGUGGGGAGCAAACAGG
RNAcentral lists this ribosomal RNA (253 nucleotides) under uncultured bacterium. RNAcentral's name for it is "partial 16S ribosomal RNA". It matches the Rfam family "Bacterial small subunit ribosomal RNA", at positions 524 to 776 of the family's 1533-position model. The record is from RNAcentral.